Meleagris gallopavo (turkey) is the source of this 309-nucleotide non-coding RNA. The record is from RefSeq and is a predicted model, not a curated record. Lineage: Eukaryota; Metazoa; Chordata; Aves; Galliformes; Phasianidae.
CUUUCAAGAUCCAGGAAAGUUUAAUUUCACCCCCCGCCUGUUCAGCCUCAGUAGUUCUUCAGGAGAAUUCUCAGCCACUGAGUUCGUUUACCCUUCAAGAGACCCUGCUGUCAUCAAUUCUAUGCCCUUCUUGCAAGAGGAUCUUUACACUGCCCCACAGCCAGCACUGUUCCUUGUUGACAAUCACCAUGAAGUGUACCUGUGGCAAGGCUGGUGGCCUGUGGAAAACAAAAUUGCUGGAUCAGCUCGAAUCAGAUGGGCUACAGACAGGAAAUGCGCCAUGGAGACAGUGCUCCAGUACUGCAAAGG